RNAcentral lists this ribosomal RNA (1351 nucleotides) under uncultured marine eukaryote. Its description in RNAcentral is "SSU rRNA". It matches the Rfam family "Eukaryotic small subunit ribosomal RNA", at positions 411 to 1775 of the family's 1831-position model. The record is from RNAcentral.
CACUUCUAAGGAAGGCAGCAGGCGCGCAAAUUACCCAAUCCUGACUCAGGGAGGUAGUGACAAGAAAUAACAAUAAACCGGCUUAUGCCGGUUUAAUUGGAAUGAGUACAAUUUAAACAUCUUAACGAGGAACAAUUGGAGGGCAAGUCUAGUGCCAGCAGCCGCGGUAAUUCCAGCUCCAAUAGCGUAUACUAAAGUUGUUGCAGUUAAAAAGCUCGUAGUUGGAUUUCUGUGGGGACGGAGCGGCCGGCCGCAACUCGCGGUUCGAGCUAGCGCUUUCCCUACAUCCUGCCGCGAACCGUGCUACCAUUAAUUUGGUGGCGCCGGGGAUCGGCUCGAUUACUUUGAGAAAAAUAGAGUGUUCAAAGCAGGCCACACGCCUUGAAUAAGUUAGCAUGGAAUAAUAACUAAGGACUUCGGUUCUAUUUUGUUGGUGUUCGGGACUGAAGUAAUGAUUGAUAGGGACAGUUGGGGCGGUCUGUAUUCCAAAGCGAGAGGUGAAAUUCUUAGACCUUCGGAAGACAAACAGCUGCGAAAGCGUUCCGCAAGGAUGUUCCCUUUGAUCAAGAACGAAAGUUGGGGGAUCGAAGACGAUCAGAUACCGUCGUAGUCUCAACUAUAAACUAUACCAGCUAGGGAUCGGCCAACGUUAUUUAAACCGACUUGGUCGGCACCUUAUGAGAAAUCAAAGCAUCUGGGUUCCGGGGGGAGUAUGGUCGCAAGGCUGAAACUUAAAGGAAUUGACGGAAGGGCACCACCAGCCGUGGAGCCUGUGGCUUAAUUUGACUCAACACGGGAAAACUUACCAGGUCCAGACAUAGUAGGGAUUGACAGAUUGAUAGCUCUUUCUUGAUUCUGUGGGUGGUGGUGCAUGGCCGUUCUUAGUUGGUGGAGUGAUUUGUCUGGUUAAUUCCGUUAACGAACGAGACCCCAGCCUGCUAAAUAGCGCGUGUGAGCUUUGCUCGCAGCGAGCUUCUUAGAGGGACUAUGAUGCGCGAUAGCACAUGGAAGUUUGGGGCAAUAACAGGUCUGUGAUGCCCUUAGAUGUUCUGGGCCGCACACGGGCUACACUGGCGCCUGCAACGAGCAUAUCAGCUGGCCCGAGAGGGUCUUGGCUAAUCUUUUGAACCGGCGCCGUGCUUGGGAUUGACCUUUGCAAUUGUUGGUCAUGCAACGAGGAAUGCCUUGUAAACGCGAGUCAUCAGCUCGCAUUGAAUACGUCCCUGCCCUUUGUACACACCGCCCGUCGCUCCUACCGAUGAAUGUUCCGAUGAAAUUUUCGGAGAGUGCCUGUGAACUUGGCUCUGCCUUGCGAACGGGAAGCUCAAAGUCACUUAAAUCUGAACAUUUC